AUGGCUGGCGGCUUUCGGGUGCUGCAUCUUGUCAGGCCCUUCUUGGCUUUCUUGCCGGAAGUGCAGAGUGCUGACAGGAAAAUACCAUUUAGAGAAAAAGUGAUCUACUGGAUGCGUGUUAUUCUUGCAUCAAACCGUGGUACUGUCAUGGAACUGGGUAUUACCCCAAUUGUGACAUCUGGAAUGGUUAUGCAACUUCUAGUGGGAUCCAAGAUUAUUGAAGUUGACAACAGUGUGAGAGAGGAUCGUGCUCUGCUGAAUGGUGCACAGAAAUUGCUGGGUAUCCUGAUUGCCAUUGGGGAAGCUGUGGCAUAUGUUCUGUCUGGAAUGUAUGGCAGUGUGAGCCAACUUGGAACUGGAAAUGCCAUUCUCAUCAUACUUCAGCUUUUCUUUGCUGGCAUCAUUGUCAUCUGUCUAGAUGAACUUCUCCAGAAAGGCUAUGGUUUGGGUUCUGGCAUUUCUCUCUUCAUUGCUACCAAUAUCUGUGAGAAUAUCAUUUGGAAGGCAUUCAGCCCUACCACCAUCAACAGUGGACGUGGUGCUGAAUUUGAAGGGGCUGUCAUUGCAUUGUUCCAUCUGUUGAUUACUCGAUCAGACAAAGUCCGUGCCCUACGAGAAGCUUUCUACCGUCAGAAUCUGCCAAAUGUGACCAAUUUGCUUGCUACUGUCCUGGUCUUUCUCAUAGUUAUCUAUUUCCAAGGCUUCCGCGUUGUGCUUCCAGUGAGGUCAAAGAAUGCUCGUGGGCAGCAAGGUUCAUACCCAAUUAAGCUGUUCUACACUUCCAACAUGCCCAUCAUUCUGCACUCUGCCCUUAUUACCAACCUGUAUUUCAUAUCCCAGCUUCUCUACAGGAAGUACAGUGGAAACUUUCUGGUUAACCUUCUCGGUAUAUGGAAAGAAUCUGAAUAUUCUGGCCAUUCUAUCCCUGUUGGUGGUCUUGCUUACUAUGUAACUGCACCAUCAAGUAUGGCUGAUAUUCUGGCGAAUCCAUUCCAUGCAUUGUUCUAUGUGGUCUUCAUGCUGUCAGCAUGUGCUCUCUUCUCAAAAACAUGGAUUGAAGUCUCUGGUUCAUCAGCCAAGGAUGUUGCGAAGCAGCUGAAGGAACAACAAAUGGUGAUGCCAGGCCAUCGUGAGUCAAACCUGCAGAAGGAACUGAACAGAUACAUCCCUACUGCCGCUGCAUUUGGUGGAGUGUGCAUCGGCGCAUUGACUGUUCUCGCUGAUUUCAUGGGCGCAAUUGGUUCAGGAACCGGUAUUCUGUUGGCUGUUACCAUCAUAUACCAGUACUUUGAGACCUUCGAGAAGGAGAGGGCGACAGAGCUUGGUUUCUUCGGGUUUUGA
Molecule: ribosomal RNA, 1341 nt
Filed under: Triticum aestivum (bread wheat)
Lineage: Eukaryota; Viridiplantae; Streptophyta; Magnoliopsida; Poales; Poaceae
Description: partial small subunit ribosomal RNA
Source: RNAcentral